RNAcentral lists this transfer RNA (82 nucleotides) under Candidatus Blochmanniella floridana. RNAcentral describes it as "tRNA-Leu (TAG) (tRNA-Leu-TAG-1-1)". It matches the Rfam family "tRNA". Rfam says of the family: Transfer RNA (tRNA) molecules are approximately 80 nucleotides in length. Their secondary structure includes four short double-helical elements and three loops (D, anti-codon, and T loops). The record is from RNAcentral. Lineage: Bacteria; Pseudomonadati; Pseudomonadota; Gammaproteobacteria; Enterobacterales; Enterobacteriaceae.
ACGGGAGUGGCGAAAUAGGUAGACGCGUCAGAGUUAGAGUCUGAUAUCCUUAGAUAUGCGAGUUCAAAUCUCGCCUCCCGUA